This 30-nucleotide non-coding RNA is filed under the name Rattus norvegicus (Norway rat). The record is from RNAcentral. Lineage: Eukaryota; Metazoa; Chordata; Mammalia; Rodentia; Muridae.
UGCCAGACAGGUGUGUCCCUAAAAGGGGGA